UUGUUUCUGGAUAUUUUUUCUCCAAUUUAGUUGUGUAAGUUGUGUGUAUUAAGUAAUAAUUUUUUCAUUUUUAUUAUGUUGGUUAUAUGUUUUUUUAUUUUUAAACAUGUUGCUGUUACCGGACCUUUAAAACAAAUAAAUGAAAACUUGUAAAAAUAACUAUAAAAUGAGUGACAAUUAGUAUUUGAGCAUUAAUGGGUUUUAAACGAAUAUAUGUAUUUCUCAUAAGAAGACAAUAGCAUUGGCCUGUUGACAUUGAGCAUGUAAGUUAUUUUCAUAAGACAAGAGGAGUGAGCAUGGAGAUGUUGAUGCCGCAUUUGUGCCUGUUGGGAUUGUCUCUUGUAUCUCCUGAUGUGGCUGUGUUUGUUUCUCUUUUAUUUGAUGGGUAUUAUGUAAAC
Molecule: long non-coding RNA, 398 nt
Filed under: Brassica napus (rape)
Lineage: Eukaryota; Viridiplantae; Streptophyta; Magnoliopsida; Brassicales; Brassicaceae
Description: long non-coding RNA (BNAP_LNC026921)
Source: RNAcentral